ACACGUAGGGGCCUGACGUUGUUCGGAAUCAUUGGGCGUAAAGGGCGCGCAGGCGGCCGUCCAAGUCCGGUGUUAAAUGGUCGGGCUCAACCCGAUCAUGCGCUGGAAACUGGGCGGCUUGAGUCCCGUAGGGGAUGCCGGAAUUCCAGGUGUAGGGGGGAAAUCUGUAGAUAUCUGGAAGAACACCGAUGGCGUAGGCAGGCAUCUGGCCGGAGACUGACGCUGAGGCGCGAAGGCGCGGGGAGCGAACAGGUUUAGAUACCCUGGUAGUCCGCGCAGUAAACGAUGCGCACCAGGUGUCGGGCGGCAGCGCCCGGUACCGGAGCUAACGCGAUGAGUGCGCCGCCUGGGGAGUAUGCCCGCAAGGGUGAAACUCAAAGGAAUUGGCGGGG
Molecule: ribosomal RNA, 392 nt
Filed under: uncultured bacterium
Lineage: Bacteria
Description: partial 16S ribosomal RNA
Rfam family: Bacterial small subunit ribosomal RNA
Source: RNAcentral